AAAUUGAAGAGUUUGAUCAUGGCUCAGAUUGAACGCUGGCGGCAGGCCUAACACAUGCAAGUCGAACGGUAACAGGAAACAGCUUGCUGUUUCGCUGACGAGUGGCGGACGGGUGAGUAAUGUCUGGGAAACUGCCUGAUGGAGGGGGAUAACUACUGGAAACGGUAGCUAAUACCGCAUAAUGUCGCAAGACUAAAGAGGGGGACCUUCGGGCCUCUUGCCAUCGGAUGUGCCCAGAUGGGAUUAGCUAGUAG
This 254-nucleotide ribosomal RNA is filed under the name Shigella sonnei. Its description in RNAcentral is "partial 16S ribosomal RNA". It matches the Rfam family "Bacterial small subunit ribosomal RNA", at positions 1 to 251 of the family's 1533-position model. Lineage: Bacteria; Pseudomonadati; Pseudomonadota; Gammaproteobacteria; Enterobacterales; Enterobacteriaceae. The record is from RNAcentral.